AGAGUUUGAUCCUGGCUCAGAAUGAACGUUGGCGGCGUGGAUUAGGCAUGCAAGUCGAGCGCGAACCCCGCAAGGGGGGAAAGCGGCGAAAGGGACAGUAAUACGUAGAUAUCUGCCCUCGGGUCCGGGAUAGCUGCGGGAAACUGCAGGUAAUACCGGAUAACAUCUCCGGAUCAAAGGUGUGAUUCCGCCUGAGGAUGAGUCUGCGUCCUAUUAGCUUGUUGGUAAGGUAACGGCUUACCAAGGCAAUGAUGGGUAGCGGGUGUGAGAGCACGACCCGCGUCACUGGGACUGAGACACUGCCCAGACACCUACGGGUGGCUGCAGUCGAGGAUCUUCGGCAAUGGGCGCAAGCCUGACCGAGCGACGCCGCGUGCGGGAUGAAGGCUUUCGGGUUGUAAACCGCUGUCAGAGGGGAUGAAAUGUAGGUGGGUUCUCCCAUCUAUUUGACAUAUCCUCAGAGGAAGUACGGGCUAAGUUCGUGCCAGCAGCCGCGGUAAGACGAACCGUACGAACGUUAUUCGGAAUUACUGGGCUUAAAGGGUGCGUAGGCUGCGCGGAAAGUUGGGUGUGAAAUCCCUCGGCUCAACCGAGGAACUGCGCCCAAAACUGCCGUGCUCGAGGGAGACAGAGGUGAGCGGAACUUAGGGUGGAGCGGUGAAAUGCGUUGAUAUCCUAAGGAACACCCGUGGCGAAAGCGGCUCACUGGGUCUCUUCCGACGCUGAGGCACGAAAGCUAGGGUAGCGAACGGGAUUAGAUACCCCGGUAGUCCUAGCCGUAAACGAUGAGCACUGGGUUGGAGGGCCCCUCAUAGCCUUCCAGCCGCAGC
RNAcentral lists this ribosomal RNA (830 nucleotides) under uncultured bacterium. RNAcentral describes it as "bacterial SSU rRNA". It matches the Rfam family "Bacterial small subunit ribosomal RNA", at positions 8 to 852 of the family's 1533-position model. The record is from RNAcentral.